Saccostrea cuccullata (small rock oyster) is the source of this 417-nucleotide long non-coding RNA. RefSeq lists it as uncharacterized. The transcript has 4 exons. The record is from RefSeq and is a predicted model, not a curated record. Lineage: Eukaryota; Metazoa; Mollusca; Bivalvia; Ostreida; Ostreidae.
AACAAUGAAAAUAAAGAUGAAAAGAUACAUUGAGAAUUCAUUUUCAGUAAAAAGCAGAACUGUGACACAGGAGCAUCACCUGUGAAAGGUUACAAAUGAUACAAAUGACACCAAUAAAGGAUAUAUGAGCAACUAAACAGGAGGCAGUUACAAAAUUAAUAAACAAAGACAGAAAACUUGCAAGUGAUCCUGCAUGAGAACUGAACUCCAGACAGUAUCGUUACCAAACAGUAUUCUUUUGGAGGGAAUUCUGUUUAAAGAAAUUGGAGGGAAAAAGUCGAAGAUGAUUAUUUCAAGUGUCACUUUUUAAACCCACUUUCUUCACUGGACAGCCAUAACACCACAUACAGCAGAACUCGUUUAGUACAAACACGGAUAUUGUGAAUUUACGGAUAAAGCGAAGUCAUCUUGGAUCCC